UCCAUUAAACUAUGCAUCUCUGGGUAAAUAUAAGAUAAAAUGUGGACAGGGUCAACUUUCACUAAUCUCAAUUCAAUGCACGGUGACUCUGGUCAACUUUCACUAAUCUUAAUUCAAUACACUGUGACUCUAGUCAGCGGAAGUUUAUUAAUUAUUGAAAAAAUGAAAGUGUUGAUUAUUUUUGUUACCCUUGUAUAUUUUGCAUUUAGCUGUGAGGAGUGUGACUAUCCUUUCAGUAACUAUGCAACCUGCACAGGAGAAACGGUCUGCGUUUAUGGGGCCGAAAAUGUGCAGGUUGAAUGUUGGAUGCGAGACAUUACAACAGAUACAGUUAUUAAACAAUUAUUUGUGAGAGGGGAUUGCAAUAUAUUACAUUUCAAACAAUUUUGCAGUCGAGGAGUUGAAAUCAUUGAAAUGGUGAAUUCCAACGACAAUCUAUCGUGUUCAGAAACGUCCACAGCUAGGAGCAUGGAAAACACUAAUGAAAUAGCAGAUAUCACUACGCCGACUAAUCAUAUCCCCCAUGGCAUCUCAACACAGGGAGGCAAGAUUACCUCUGUCACGACCCCGGUAUCUUUUAGUAAAACUACAUCUAAAAAUGCAGAAUCAUCCACCCUUAUUAGUGCGACCUCUACUUUGACCUCCGAUGGACCCACGAUUUCACACAUCACGUCCUCCACAACGCAUCUUGCGUCCACGACAAUUUUAUCCUCGACGAAACCUACUGACGAAAAUGAUAACAAGGGUAUGGGGAGUGAACUUGAUUUUUUAUUUAUCUUAAUUGUAUUGCCUAUACUCUUCAUCGCAUGUGUGAUAGGUUUAAGAUUAAGACGUAUACGUAAAAGACGUAUUAAUAACCAAUCGCCUGAGAUGGAAGAGAUGGACGAAAUUGAAGAGACGGUAUUUGAUCGAAAUCACUAAGAAAUAAAAUACAAUUGCAUGUCAAAUUAAGUGUGAAGACUUGUAAUGUGUACACGAAGCAAUGCGUGAAACCAUGCACGGGUUUUGUUUGUCUACUAAUAUAUCAAUUUACUACCUUGCAUGAAAUGAAAAUUUGCUAGAAUGUAUUAGACCAAAUCAAAAUACUUCUUAAUUUUUUUUCAAACUCGCCAUUUCACAACCGUACAAUACACAGGCUCCGAAAGGAUUCACCCGUUAUCAACACCCCGGCCGAGCGCUUUGAUGCGGACAAUGGCGUAUAAAACCACGGUGGUCUCUAAUAGGGGUGUUUAAAAAUGAAAUAGAUUAUUUAUUUACCUAUAUUCUUUUACAUGUCUUAUUUAUAGUGUGUGUAUGGGUUUUAAGGUUCACACGGAGAAAAAAAUAAAAUCGGAUUCAACUGAUAUGAAUAUUGUAAUUACUAAGAAAGAAAUAUGCAAACCAAAAUUGUAAAAAUAAUGUAAAAUCUGUGAUCAUUAUAAGUAUCAAAAUUUAUUUUGAGUGUGUAGUAGCUCCGACUUGAGAUAACAUUAGAUAAGGCCAUACAAGUUGCAUGUUACUUAAUCAACUAAUCUCUUUUUUUUAUGUAUUUGUUGACUAAAUCUGUUCUUGCAUGAAUUGACGAAUCCAGGGGGUAUGUACUAGUUUCGAUAAAGUAAGUUGACGAAGCGUACGGAUUAGCCGUAACCGCUUUUGCGGUUAUUGUGACUGCGGCGGUGGUAUGGGGAGUGAGGAUCCUCUGGCAGAGAUUUAAAUGCGCCUGGAAACCACCACUCGCCAGGCGAGGAGCCGACC
Molecule: RNA transcript, 1734 nt
Organism: Magallana angulata
Lineage: Eukaryota; Metazoa; Mollusca; Bivalvia; Ostreida; Ostreidae
Exons: 4
Source: RefSeq, a predicted model, not a curated record